UUAAAAUACUUCUUUAAAAAGAAUCGCUAGUGGUACAAAGAUAUUUAGAGGUGUUUAAAUGGUGGUUAUAUCCAUACGCUAUUAAUAAAUAAAUAGGAAUCUCGAUCUGAAUAGUAUCUUAAAAUAUUAAAAGUGACUUGAAGGAACCUUCAAGGUGUUUUCCUUGGUCUAUUUGUCCCUCUUCUAAAGUGGUUAUUGUCAUUGGCAUCACUGUUCGGCGGUUUGGUUGACUUAGACCCAUCCACUUCUAUAUGCUUCUAGCCGGGAAGAUGGCCAAAACCCACUUUUGGCCGACUCCGCCUUUUCUUUGCACUCGUUCGAGGGGAAAGCGGCUUCUCAUUUUCAAAUCCGAUUAGCAUCAUUUAGUUGGGCCACUGUUGUUGUCCUUGUGGAAGGGUCUAUUAUUUCCAUUAGAUUGAUUUCGCCUGAGGAGGUCCCAUUACGGUGUCCCAAACGGUUGGCAUCCCAAAGGUAAACUGACAUUCUAUGGAAAUGGGACUCUUUAUUGUGAAUACAAAAGUAUAUGUUGACUUUAUUUAUCUUUCCUCCUCGAGCCUCUGGCUGCGUUCCGGCAGACCUGCCGUAUCACCAGUUCCACCUGCUUGCGAUCCAUCUGAAACUUGUGUGUGGUCAGAAACACUAUGUUCUUCAGCUUCGAGGAAUUUAGCUUGGGCUUGGAAUGCUUGGCCAGGAGCACUGAGAACCUGCCAGGUCGCCCAGUCAAUGAAUAGGUUCCCAAUGUCUCUCGCCCAAAGACCAUGUGGCAUAGAUCACUGGUGGUAUUCUUGUAGCAGCUUCAGUCCAACAAUUGGUAGUGCGUAUCGGAAAUAAGUGUUGGAUUGGGACCGGUCUGAACUUGGGUUUUGCAAACUGACUCAUUUGGGUACCCUUCUUUCCGCAAGCUAUUACUUUUCACGUUCCAAUUGCUCCCCUUUAAUUUUUGCAACUUAUUUUCCUUUUUUUGAAUACCUUUCCUCGUAGCGUGGUUAGCUGCUGGGUUUUGAUCCACUGGCCCCAUUCUGAGAAGUUUCCAAGUGGCAUCAAAUGCAGAAAAUUAGAGUUGCUUGCACUCUUUUUUCAGGGAUGGGAGAAAGUUGUGACAAAACUAUCGAUAGGUUAAUAGAGCUAAGAUUUCCGAUUAGGUUCGAAGUUUACUGCAAGCUGUUCAAAAAGAAAAACAUAAAACAAGUAAAUCAAAAAUGAAGUAAAUCAUAACGUUUUCGGGCACAUUUAUGUUUGUGUAAACGGUCCAAUCAAUCGUUAGGAGCAUGCUUUUAAGUUUGGCAAAUAUGGUAUUAAAGAACCUGAAAUUUAAUUUCAAUUAUAUAUCUAGAUCCGAGUCUAAAUGGGAACGCAGGGAUAGACAAAUGCGACCUGGACUAGUGCCACCUCCACGACUGAGUGACUUCAAUUACCCCACACUCUUUUGGAUGGCAGAUGGCAAAGUGUUCCACUCGCCAAACAAGUUCCAGAUUGCAUCUUUAUCUCGGCCCGUACAUAUUCUUGCAGGCAAUAAAAGUUUCUGGGCAAUAAAUCUGCAAGUUUGUGGAGCGAGACCUCGAACCGAGCAGAGGAAAAACAUCUGCAGUCGGCGAUGCACACAAAUUGCCAAAGAGUUGGCCGUCGAACAGGUGGCCCUGGAUCGAGCGGCAGGCUGCGGAUGAGGAGGACAGGAUUUUAUGUCUUGCAGGUCACUGAUUCACUUGGCCUCCAUUUCGGCUUAGUUCUUUGCUGAACGUAAAAACUGCGACUCAAAGGUUUAUGGCCAGGCCGACUGUGAGCAGGACGACGAACAAACAAGCGGAGAGCUCGGAUUGGCGACAUCCUCCUGCAGGUCCUUGUUGCCGUGCUUGUUGUUGGCUGUCUGGCAGUUGGAAAAAUUGACUGCAUUGCCCACGGGUCAACAAAUAAAUUGGUUGGCCGAGCGGCGCGCCCUGCUGCCAUGUUGAUUUUGAGGUCAUCGCUGAUAUUGCGGAUGCGAAUCGUUUUUGAUUGCACCGGGCGGUUCCACUGGCAAUGCAGCACAGCCCCGAGAUGAUGCGGUAACCGCACUACUGUCAUUUACACUCCCAUUCCCAUACCCAAACUGAGUCCCAUUGCCACGGACAGAUGGACUCGGACUCCGGAUCCGAAGCUGACUACGGUCUGCAGUCUACGGUGUAUUAAUUGUGGUUGCGACUGGCCAUAAAAAGUCGGUGCGUCAAAUAUUUAUUACAAAUGACCGUGACAAGCGGAAGGACAUACGCAUUGGCAGGAUGAGAGCCAGUCGAGUUUUGUGUUUUCCCCGGAUUUUCCCUGGACUGCCCACC
RNAcentral lists this small RNA (2309 nucleotides) under Drosophila ananassae. Its description in RNAcentral is "GF27459". Lineage: Eukaryota; Metazoa; Arthropoda; Insecta; Diptera; Drosophilidae. The record is from RNAcentral.